Molecule: ribosomal RNA, 449 nt
Filed under: uncultured bacterium
Lineage: Bacteria
Description: bacterial SSU rRNA
Rfam family: Bacterial small subunit ribosomal RNA
Source: RNAcentral
GCCAGACUCCUACGGGAGGCAGCAGUGGGGAAUAUUGGGCAAUGGGCGCAAGCCUGACCCAGCAACGCCGCGUGAAGGAAGAAGGCUUUCGGGUUGUAAACUUCUUUUCUCAGGGACGAAGCAAGUGACGGUACCUGAGGAAUAAGCCACGGCUAACUACGUGCCAGCAGCCGCGGUAAUACGUAGGUGGCAAGCGUUAUCCGGAUUUACUGGGUGUAAAGGGCGUGUAGGCGGGACUGCAAGUCAGAUGUGAAAACCACGGGCUCAACCUGUGGCCUGCAUUUGAAACUGUAGUUCUUGAGUACUGGAGAGGCAGACGGAAUUCCUAGUGUAGGAGUGAAAUCCGUAGAUAUUAGAAGGAACACCAAUAGCGUAGGCAGGUUACUGGGACGGUUCUGACACUAAGGCACGAAAGCGUAGGGAGCAAACGGGAUUAGAUACCCGUGUAC